GACGAACGCUGGCGGCGUGCUUAACACAUGCAAGUCGAACGGAAAGGCCCUGCUUGCAGGGUACUCGAGUGGCGAACGGGUGAGUAACACGUGGGUGAUCUGCCCUGCACUUCGGGAUAAGCCUGGGAAACUGGGUCUAAUACCGGAUAGGAGCCAUUUUUAGUGUGAUGGUUGGAAAGUUUUUUCGGUGUAGGAUGAGCUCGCGGCCUAUCAGCUUGUUGGUGGGGUAAUGGCCUACCAAGGCGGCGACGGGUAGCCGGCCUGGGAGGGUGGACGGCCAAAUUGGGACUGAGAUACGGCCCAGACUCCUACGGGAGGGAGCAGUGGGGAAUAUUGCACAAUGGGCGCAAGCCUGAUGCAGCGAAGCCGCGUGGGGGAUGACGGCCUUCGGGUUGUAAACUCCUUUCGCUAGGGACGAAGCUUUUUGUGACGGUACCUAGAUAAGAAGCACCGGCUAACUACGUG
This 465-nucleotide ribosomal RNA is filed under the name uncultured bacterium. RNAcentral's name for it is "partial 16S ribosomal RNA". It matches the Rfam family "Bacterial small subunit ribosomal RNA", at positions 28 to 507 of the family's 1533-position model. The record is from RNAcentral.